Sphaeramia orbicularis (orbiculate cardinalfish) is the source of this 1406-nucleotide long non-coding RNA. RefSeq lists it as uncharacterized. Lineage: Eukaryota; Metazoa; Chordata; Actinopteri; Kurtiformes; Apogonidae. The record is from RefSeq and is a predicted model, not a curated record. The transcript has 3 exons.
AUUUGGAAAAAAAAUGAGCUAGAUCACUACAACGUAAAAUUGUACAGUCCACCAGAGUUGUUUUAAGGCAUGAGUAUAGUCGGUGGAUGGAGGUAAAGGCCACAUUUGGUUUCAGCACUUGCGAAGGGACAGCGAAAUUGCCGCUGCACUUCACGACAAAAUUUCCGAAAAGGCCUGAGUGACAUUUCGGUUUGUUAUGUAAACAAGCGGACUGUAUUUAUGAUGGAGUCAUCUUCGAAAUUGUUCACCGUGAAGGAAGUGAUUCAGGUGCUUUAAUGUUCACCCAACGUCACAAAAUGAUACAAUACAUGAAGAAAGCAGUGGAAGUAAAACACUUUCAGUACGUCUGAUAUUGUUAAAUGUGCAAUGUACAGUACAGUUUCCUCAAAUGUAGCUUUUGCAUCGGUUGUUUGCUUUACUUUGUGACCCGAUGCUGCCUUAGUUACAGUUUCUCAGAAGAUUUAAUAUGUUGAAGGUAUUAAAAAAAAGGAUAUUCUCUGGAACAUCCUUAUAUGGCAUUAGAUGGAAAGUAGUUGUGAAUGGAUAAAAAGAUACAGUGGGCCUUUUCUGUUUUGGCUUUAUCACAACCUGCCUCUUCACCUGUUUGUGCCUGUUUUCAGUAUCAAUGUCGUCUUUUCACUGUCACGUAUUGGACAUAAAUAUGAUUCCUCUGCUGAUGCAAUAAUCUAAUGUUAUCUACUCUGGGUUAGAUAGUAUUGGACAGAGGUCUGAGCAUUACUUUUGAGCUUUUAUGAUAUGAUGUUUUUGUGUGUGUAGAUGUUUUCAUGUCGUUGUUGCUGCCAUACACCUCAUGCCUCCUCUCCGGGUCUGAGCACAGAGCCAAAAAGUGUGAUAUGUGUUUACAGUAAUUAUUUGGUGCAAUAUGCUGUACUUGAUUUGGUUUAAGAUCAUUUCUGUUUAUUUGUGCGUUUUUCCUUAAGUAUACAAAGGUGAUGUUGAAAGCACCUCUUCUGUUAAAUUAUCAGAAGUAAUUAUGAGAUAAAUGAAAGUGCCUUAAACCUUUUACGUAGCAAUUUUAUACUGAACAACAAAAGAAACACAAGUUAUUGUAUCAAAAUACAGUGACAAAUUAUUAUUCAGCAGCCAUAAAACUAAAAAAGUGAAACUACUGCUAUCAAUGUAAUGACAUUUCAGCUGUAAAUCUUUCUAUACAUAUACUUUUGUUCUUUUGUUGUUCAAUAUAUUUUACUGCACACUCCAUCUUACGUUGUUCGAUGGCUUGUUAAAUGAAACACGAACAGGUACUGAAUUUGUGUGACUUGUUAAAUGCACUUUUUAAAAGUUUCAAGUAUUUUAAUGGAGACAGAAUGCAAAGUAUUUUUGUUGGUGUAUUUUUUAAAAAAAAUUGUAAACCAGUUUUGAUGGAUAAAUUGAUGUGGAUGGAU